RNAcentral lists this transfer RNA (67 nucleotides) under Marmota monax (woodchuck). RNAcentral describes it as "tRNA.Thr". It matches the Rfam family "tRNA", at positions 6 to 65 of the family's 71-position model. Rfam says of the family: Transfer RNA (tRNA) molecules are approximately 80 nucleotides in length. Their secondary structure includes four short double-helical elements and three loops (D, anti-codon, and T loops). Further hydrogen bonds mediate the characteristic L-shaped molecular structure. tRNAs have two regions of fundamental functional importance: the anti-codon, which is responsible for specific mRNA codon recognition, and the 3' end, to which the tRNAs corresponding amino acid is attached (by aminoacyl-tRNA synthetases). tRNAs cope with the degeneracy of the genetic code in two manners: having more than one tRNA (with a specific anti-codon) for a particular amino acid; and 'wobble' base-pairing, i.e. permitting non-standard base-pairing at the 3rd anti-codon position. The record is from RNAcentral. Lineage: Eukaryota; Metazoa; Chordata; Mammalia; Rodentia; Sciuridae.
GUUUGUAGCUCAGUGGUAGAGUGCUUGCCUAGUAUGUGUGAGGCACUGGGUUCAAUCCUCAGCACCA